UACAGGGGGUGCAAACGUUGCUCGGAAUUAUUGGGCGUAAAGCGCGCGUAGGCGGCUACUUAAGUCGGAUGUGAAAGCCCCUGGCUCAACUGGGGAAGUGCACCCGAAACUGAGUGGCUUGAGUACUAAAGAGGGUCGCGGAAUUCCCGGUGUAGAGGUGAAAUUCGUAGAUAUCGGGAGGAACACCGGUGGCGAAGGCGGCGACCUGGGUAGAUACUGACGCUGAGGCGCGAAAGCAUGGGGAGCGAACAGG
This 253-nucleotide ribosomal RNA is filed under the name uncultured bacterium. Its description in RNAcentral is "partial 16S ribosomal RNA". It matches the Rfam family "Bacterial small subunit ribosomal RNA", at positions 524 to 776 of the family's 1533-position model. The record is from RNAcentral.